This 1274-nucleotide ribosomal RNA is filed under the name uncultured eukaryote. RNAcentral's name for it is "partial 18S ribosomal RNA". It matches the Rfam family "Eukaryotic small subunit ribosomal RNA", at positions 384 to 1804 of the family's 1831-position model. The record is from RNAcentral.
CGGAGAGGGCGCAUGAGACAUUGCGCUUACAGCUAAGGUUGGCAGCAGGAGCGAAAACUUUUCGAAUGAGCAAUGCUUGAAAAGGUGACGAACUGUAUCAACAUCACUCUAUAGUGAUGAUUGAAAUGAGACAAAUAUAGAUGAUUUGUCGAGUAGCUAGUUCAGGGCAAGUCUGGUGCCAGCAGCCGCGGUAAUACCAGCUGAGCUAGGGAUGGGUAAUUCUGUUGCAGUAAAAACAUUCGUAGUCACUGUAUAUUUUUAACCGUCCUUAAUGGGCGGUAUCUAAAAUAAAAACAUACAUCCGCGAUUAAAUUAGGACGAUCAAUUUGCAUGGUGAAUACUAAAGCGUGGUAAAUCUGACGAUACCUUAUUCUAAAACGCAAUUUUGGAAGAAGGAAUAAACGGUAAAAAUAAGUGAGGGAAGUGGUACUAACCAGCUAGAGGUGGAAUUCAUAGAUUUGGUUAUGACCAGCAACUGCAAAGGCAUCUUCCCAACUUAUAUUUGGUGAUCAAGAAUUAAAGUGUGGGGAUCGAAGAGAAUUAGAUACCCUCGUAGUCCACACCCUAAACUAUGUCGACUAGAGAUUGGUGCACUGUUUUAUACUUUAUCAGAACCUUAGCAGAUAUGAAAGUUUUUGGACUCUGGGGGAAGUAUGGUCGCAAGGGCGAAACUUAAAGGAAUUGACGGAACGGCACCACCAGGGGUGGAGCGUGCGGCUUAAUUUGACUCAACGCGGGGAACCUUACUAGGGUACGACAUUUGGAUGCUUGACAGGAUGCUUGUUCUUUCUUAAGUAAAUGGGUGGUGGUGCAUGGCCGAUCUUAGUUGGUGGGGUGACUUGUCUGGUUAAUUUCGAUAACGAACGAGAUCCGAGCUGAUUAGUUGCGGGCUUCUAUCACGGUAGGAGUACGUUUUUAAUUGGACCAUCAGAUCAAUCUGAAGGAAGUGACGGGCUAAAUCAGGUCUGUGAUGCCCUUUGACACUCUGGGCGGCACGCGCGCUACAAUGGAUGAUAUAACGUGUAACAUGUCCGUCAGGUUAUGUGAAUCACAAAUAUUAUGUCUUGAGUGGGAUAGUUUACUGCAAUUAUAAACUUGAACUAGGAAUCCCUUGUAGGUACACUGAAGCAUAGUGUACCGAAUACGUCCCUGCCGUUUGUACACACCGCCCGUCGUUUCUUUCGACUGAUACUCAUUGUGAAUUACGGGGAGAUUUUGUCAAACCGUUGUGAAUGCUGGGUAUUGGAGAAAGAAAAAGUCGUAAAAGGGUAACC